This 253-nucleotide ribosomal RNA is filed under the name uncultured bacterium. Its description in RNAcentral is "partial 16S ribosomal RNA". It matches the Rfam family "Bacterial small subunit ribosomal RNA", at positions 524 to 776 of the family's 1533-position model. The record is from RNAcentral.
UACGUAGGGGGCAAGCGUUGUCCGGAUUUAUUGGGCGUAAAGAGCGUGUAGGCGGUCCGGUAAGUCCGUUGUGAAAGUCGAGGGCUCAACCCUCGAAUGCCGGCGGAUACUGUCGGACUAGAGUCCGGAAGAGGCGAGUGGAAUUCCUGGUGUAGCGGUGAAAUGCGCAGAUAUCAGGAGGAACACCAAUGGCGAAGGCAGCUCGCUGGGACGGUACUGACGCUGAGACGCGAAAGCGUGGGGAGCAAACAGG